ACUUGCUUUCUUUGCCGGCGACCGGCGCACGGGUGAGUAACACGUAUCCAACCUGCCCUUUACUCGGGGAUAGCCUUUCGAAAGAAAGAUUAAUACCCGAUAGCAUAAUGAUUCCGCAUAGUUUCAUUAUUAAAGGAUUCCGGUAAAGGAUGGGGAUGCGUUCCAUUAGGUUGUUGGUGGGGUAACGGCCCACCAAGCCUUCGAUGGAUAGGGGUUCUGAGAGGAAGGUCCCCCACAUUGGAACUGAGACACGGUCCAGACUCCUACGGGAGGCAGCAUG
This 280-nucleotide ribosomal RNA is filed under the name uncultured bacterium. RNAcentral's name for it is "partial 16S ribosomal RNA". It matches the Rfam family "Bacterial small subunit ribosomal RNA", at positions 74 to 353 of the family's 1533-position model. The record is from RNAcentral.